GCUUAACACAUGCAAGUCGAACGGUAAGGCCCCUUCGGGGGUACACGAGUGGCGAACGGGUGAGUAACACGUGAGCAACCUACCCUUGACACCGGAANAACAGUUGGAAACAGCUGCUAAUGCCGGAUACGACCUUCGGUGACAUCACCUGAAGGUGGAAAGUGCUUAGCGGUCAAGGAUGGGCUCGCGGCCUAUCAGCUAGUUGGUGAGGUAACGGCUCACCAAGGCUUCGACGGGUAGCCGGCCUGAGAGGGCGACCGGCCACACUGGGACUGAGAUACGGCCCAGACUCCUACGGGAGGCAGCAGUGGGGAAUAUUGCACAAUGGGCGCAAGCCUGAUGCAGCAACGCCGCGUGCGGGAUGACGGCCUUCGGGUUGUAAACCUCUUUCAGCAGGGACGAAGCGGAAGUGACGGUACCUGCAGAAGAAGCACCGGCCAACUACGUGCCAGCAGCCGCGGUAAUAC
Molecule: ribosomal RNA, 467 nt
Filed under: uncultured Actinomycetes bacterium
Lineage: Bacteria; Bacillati; Actinomycetota; Actinomycetes
Description: bacterial SSU rRNA
Rfam family: Bacterial small subunit ribosomal RNA
Source: RNAcentral